Molecule: long non-coding RNA, 401 nt
Filed under: Androctonus crassicauda
Lineage: Eukaryota; Metazoa; Arthropoda; Arachnida; Scorpiones; Buthidae
Source: RNAcentral
GUUUUGGAAGCUUAGUAUUGCUCCAGUAAAUGUCUAAGUUAUAUUCAGGGAGGUGUUUUGUGGGGGCAGUGGUGAUAUUUUGAUAACAUAGGCUUUAUGUUCCUUAAUCCUAGUUUUGGGGUUGCGGGAUGUAUAUUCAAUGUGCACUUCAUCUUUGUUGAGAUCCGGAUUUUUGAGUGGGAUUUUAUAGACACCUGGUCCACUGAUAAAGGGCGUAUUGUCUUUAUCAUUAUGCAGCAAAUUGAGGAGAGUGUUUUUUCAUUUGAAGGUGAGCUUAUGGCCAGUACGACGUUCGAUCGUUUUACUUAAAUUCCUGAGAGUGGUAGUAGAUUGGAGUUUAUUGUAAGCAAUAUUUUGCGGAGGAGAGAUUUUGUUCAACUGCUUUUUGACCUGUUGUGGGA